GUAGAUUUCGCCUUUCGCUCCGACGUCGACGCCGCGCGUCGGUUCGUCGAGUAUGAGCAGGUCGCAAUCGGCGUGAAACCAUUUGGCAAGCGCCACUUUCUGCUGG
This 106-nucleotide small RNA is filed under the name Sinorhizobium meliloti 2011. Its description in RNAcentral is "putative ncRNA". The record is from RNAcentral. Lineage: Bacteria; Pseudomonadati; Pseudomonadota; Alphaproteobacteria; Hyphomicrobiales; Rhizobiaceae.